UGCAAGUCGAACGAGAGAGAGGGAGCUUGCUUCCUCAAUCGAGUGGCGAACGGGUGAGUAACGCGUGAGGAACCUGCCUCAAAGAGGGGGACAACAGUUGGAAACGACUGCUAAUACCGCAUAAGCCCACGACCCGGCAUCGGGUAGAGGGAAAAGGAGCAAUCCGCUUUGAGAUGGCCUCGCGUCCGAUUAGCUAGUUGGUGAGGUAACGGCCCACCAAGGCGACGAUCGGUAGCCGGACUGAGAGGUUGAACGGCCACAUUGGGACUGAGACACGGCCCAGACUCCUACGGGAGGCAGCAGUGGGGAAUAUUGCACAAUGGGGGAAACCCUGAUGCAGCGACGCCGCGUGGAGGAAGAAGGUCUUCGGAUUGUAAACUCCUGUUGUUGAGGAAGAUAAUGACGGUACUCAACAAGGAAGUGACGGCUAACUACGUGCCAGCAGCCGCGGUAAAACGUAGGUCACAAGCGUUGUCCGGAAUUACUGGGUGUAAAGGGAGCGCAGGCGGGAAGACAAGUUGGAAGUGAAAUCCAUGGGCUCAACCCAUGAACUGCUUUCAAAACUGUUUUUCUUGAGUAGUGCAGAGGUAGGCGGAAUUCCCGGUGUAGCGGUGGAAUGCGUAGAUAUCGGGAGGAACACCAGUGGCGAAGGCGGCCUACUGGGCACCAACUGACGCUGAGGCUCGAAAGUGUGGGUAGCAAACAGGAUUAGAUACCCUGGUAGUCCACACUGUAAACGAUGAUUACUAGGUGUUGGAGGAUUGACCCCUUCAGUGCCGCAGUUAACACAAUAA
RNAcentral lists this ribosomal RNA (794 nucleotides) under uncultured bacterium. RNAcentral describes it as "bacterial SSU rRNA". It matches the Rfam family "Bacterial small subunit ribosomal RNA", at positions 56 to 863 of the family's 1533-position model. The record is from RNAcentral.